UCACAAGAUUUGUUCAAAUUUCACUAUAGGCCUUUUUUGUUAUUGGAAAAAAGUGUGUGAAUUGGAAAAAAAAUCAUAAUGCGCAUGCUCAUUGACAAUUCGUGUAUUGCGUGUAGUCUAUUCAUGUCACAAUUUUUGGACGAGGUUUUUGUUCGGUCCAGGAAUGUGAGAAAUGUUAUUCCAUUUUCCAAUCCCGAGAUGUUACGCGGCGUUAUUUAAUAAAGUAAACAAAUGUUGAAAAUUAAAAUUUCCCCAGCUCCAAAAUUGCUUCUUCUUUUUUAACCAUUUUCUUUUCUUCUUUUUCGAUAAAAUUAAUUAAAAUAAUAGUAUUAAUAAUUAUAUUAUCUUUAGGAACAUUUUUUUUUUUUUUUUUUUUUUUUUUUUUUUUUGAAAAAUUGCGCCGUUGUAAGUAUAAAUAAAAUGGAGGUCUUUUUUCACUUUCUGUUUUGUUACCAAGUGGAAAAU
RNAcentral lists this long non-coding RNA (465 nucleotides) under Olea europaea subsp. europaea. Lineage: Eukaryota; Viridiplantae; Streptophyta; Magnoliopsida; Lamiales; Oleaceae. The record is from RNAcentral.